Molecule: long non-coding RNA, 3747 nt
Filed under: Homo sapiens (human)
Lineage: Eukaryota; Metazoa; Chordata; Mammalia; Primates; Hominidae
Description: non-protein coding lnc-TMEM206-5:17
Source: RNAcentral
CCUUCUGAAAUGAUGGAGGAAGUUCUGCUGAGGAUGGGGUCAGGGUAACAGCAGACUUCUGAAUAACUCUGCACCCCCAGAAACCUGCAAAGGACACAGGCCCUCUUGGUGGUCUCCUCCUGGAUGCCUUGCUUUCUCCUGGAAGAGUCCUCCCUUCCACCCCGGAUAUCACUGUGAACCUGAUUCCCCAGGAUCAACCAUCUGAGCAGAUACCUUGGAAUGUCCCCAGAUUUCAGAGAAUUCCAAAGAAGAUAGAAAUGGAGUUAGGAAGGAGAUUUUUGCCCUCCUGGCUCUUGUCUUCCUUCUCCACUUCAAGGUAUGUUGUGCUACUGUGUGAAUCCACAGGGAGGAAUCAGACUUUCUUUUUGAUAAAGACAGAGCAAGACCUUUGUGUUUUAGAUCUACAAUGCCUUAGAGAGUAGCUAGAUCAAUGGUUAUCAAAUUGCCCGAGGAAGCCCCACCUGGGGCCACACUUCAAGAGGCUGCUGUGGCCAAAGAUAAGGAUUUCAAAGACUCCUCCUGCUCUUACUCCACUCCUUCCAUGCUCACCUUCCUUCAAUUAAAGCACUUGCCUUUACCUGUUUUUAUGUUGAAGUGCCACAUAAGAUGUUGGCAUUUGAAAUGAUGUUCUGUUGUUUAAUAUGUAAUAGCUCCCCAUGUAAAAAGGAGGGGAGGCAAGUCCUUUGAGCUAGAUGCCUUGAAGGAAGAAGAGUCUGUACUGAGUCAGGUGCCCCAGUGUGGGAAGGAAGGAGAUAAGUCAUUACCAAGGGGACAAAGGAAAGCAGAGAAGAGAAAUGGGUCUCCUUAGGGUCACCAUUUCCCUUCAGAGCCCCUGUGAAGGAGGGUCAUAUACAUAAACUAUAUACGAUGUACAUAGUUUAAUAUGCAUGUACAUACAAACAUACGCACAUACACUCAAAACCACUAAUCCAUUCCAACCUUCACCAUUAUGAGCCUGAGGAGCCUGGAUUGAGACAGAUAAAGUGACUUGCCUCAUGUUGAGACUACAUGAAAGGUGUUACUAUCACUUAGUAAAUCUCUUUUAUUGGUGGGUCAGAGGCCAGGCUGUUGUAAACCCACAGAGGAAAGCCUUGCAAUUUUCCAGUAACUGGAAUUGUUUUAUCUGAAAAUAUUUCCUGGAGUCAUGGAUUCUUAGGGCAGGGGUGUGGAACUGAGGAAGGAGGGGGUGUUUCUUGAGGAGGAAAGAUCCUUUGUUCAUCCUCCUGCCUCAAUACGAAUAAAGUAACUGCUGAAAAGAGGGCUAUCAGGAAGGAGAGGAUAACUCAUAAAUCUUUACAUUUUAAAAAAUAGCUUUAGAGGCCGGGCUCGGUGGCUCAGGCCUAUAAUCCCAGCACUUUGGGAAGCCGAGGUGGGCGGAUCACCUGAGGUCAGGAAUUCGAGACCAGCCUGGCCAACACGGUGAAACCCCUCUCUACUAAAAAUACAAAAAAAAUUAGCCAGGCAUGGUGGCGGGCACCUGUAAUCCCAGCUACUCGGGAGGCUGAGGCAGGAGAAUCGCUUGAACCCUGGAGGCGGAGGUUGCAGUGAGCAGAGAUCAUGCUAUUGCACUCCAGCCUGGAGGACAAGAGUGCGAGACUCUGUCUCAACAAAAAAAAAAAAAAAAAAAAAAAAAAAAAAAGCUUUAGAAAUUCUGAUUCCUCAGAGCUCCAGUGGACACAGAGAUGUCUGCCCUUUGCCCUCUUUUGUUCUCCCUUGCUUUUGUGAGCGUAUAUGUGUUUUCUCAUUCUGUCUUUCUGAGUAUGCUUUUUGUCUGCCUGUCUUUUGGUUUCCUUUCAUAUUUAUUAUAUUUCAUUUGAAGUGAAAGGACAGGGCCGGGAGUCAUGCCUCCCCAGGCGUGAGGCGUGUGUGGGCUGUAUCCCAGAGGAGAUUUUCUUUGCCAAUUGUGGAAUGAAGACUGUAUCAAAGUUCAGAGGAUCCGCCAACACAGAAGAGAGAAACACCAGAUGCUUGGGGCCUCUAAGCAGAAGGAGCAACCCACCAAUCCCAAGAUACCUGCUUGGCAACGUAAUGUGCUGUGCAAUGUGCGGCAAGUUGUGAAGAGCCAGCAUCUACUUCUGGAAGCUGUCCAUCUGAAGUUUCUGAAAAAAUUUUCAUCGGCACCUGUCAGAUGACUUGAUUUCUGAGUUAAGAGCUGCAUGAAGAUGUGCCUUCAAACCAGUCUUUGUACAUCACGUUCAGGUGUCACUGAGAAAAGUGAUGACUAACAUUUCUUGGACAUAUACCUGCUGGGUAUUAAUCUUUAUACUGGGCAUUUGCUGAUGAUAGUGGAACCUACGGGUGGCCUACUCAACUUCUAUUUCUCCAUUCUUCCAUUUUAGCUAACAGAACCUCAAUUUUGUUCAUCUAUUGUUUCCUUUUGAAACCCAGAGAAAGGUGACCCCAUUCCAAUUCCGAAAGUAAGUAUUGAUUAGUCUAAGCCAGUCAUGAUAUUUCCAUCUCCCUUGCCAAGGACUUGUUGAGGAAAGGUCAAAUAACAAAACACUGGCCAAUGAAGCAUGAAGGAAAGUUCUGGAAAAGAAAGAUUGUGUGAAAGAGACACAGAAAGAGAUGACCUUUCUCUCUGGUUUUUAUUUCUAGAUGAGAUUCCUGAAACUCUUACAGUUAUCUUGUUAUCAACCUAAGGAUGAAUGUAACACCUACGGGAGGGCGGAACCGAGUAUUCUCCCCUGGAGCCUGAGAUAUUUCUGGACUUCCUAGCAUGUGAUAUAAUAAUUUAUUAUUGUGUUAUAUCAUAUUAAGUUGGGGGCUCUGUUACCUGCAUCAGAAAUCUUCCUCAUAGCCAUAGGUUGGUUCAUUUAAUCUUCACUGCUGUCCAUGUGGUAUCUAUCUCCUUUUUAUAGGUUAAGAAAUGCAUUUAAGUUACUACAGCUAGUAAGCAGCAAAGCCCCAAAUUCAAUCCAGUUCUGAGUUUUAAAAAUCCCUAACAUGUGGCUGGGUGCGGUGGCUCAUGCCUGUAAUCCCAGCACUUUGGGAGGCUGAGGUGGGCAGAUCACAAGGUCAGGAGUUCGAGAUCAGCCUGGCCAACAUGGUGAAACUCCAUCUCUAUUAAAAAUACAAAAAUUAGCUGGGCGUGGUGGCAUGCACCUGUAGUCCCAGCUACUCUGGAGGCUGAGGCAGAAGAAUCACUUGAACCCAGGAGGCAGAGGUUGCAGUGAGCUGAGAUCGCACCACUGCAUUCCAGCCUGCGCGACAGAGCAGUACUCAGUCUUUAAAAAAAAAAAAAAUCCCUAACAUGUGUGCCUUAGUCCAUUUUAUGCUGCUAUAACAGAAUACCACAGGCUGAGUAAUUUGUAAUGAACAGAAAUGUAUUUGGCUUACAGUUCUAAAAGCUGGAAAGCCCAAGAUUCAGGGGCUGCAUCUGGUGAGGGCCUCCUUGCUGCAUCGUAACACAGCAGAAGACAUCACGUGAUGAGAAUGAGAGCUCAGACUGGCAGCAGCGAGUCUUUUCACAGUCAGCAUUAAUCCAUUCAUGAUGGUGGAGCCCUCAUGACCUAAACACCCACCAUCAGGCUCCACUCCACCUCCCAACACUGUUGCACUGGGAAUUCAGUUUCCAGCAUACGCUUUUUAGGGGACAUAUUCAAACCAUAGUGAUGUCUUCAUUUUAUAUCUGUAGGAGAGUCAUGAUUUUAUCUUUUUUUUUUUUUAGUUUUUUUUUUUUUUUUUUUUUUGAUAAGAGUCACUCUGUCACCCAGGAUAGAGUGCAGUGGCAUGAGUUCGGCUCAC